This 72-nucleotide transfer RNA is filed under the name Camelus bactrianus (Bactrian camel). It matches the Rfam family "tRNA". Rfam says of the family: Transfer RNA (tRNA) molecules are approximately 80 nucleotides in length. Their secondary structure includes four short double-helical elements and three loops (D, anti-codon, and T loops). Lineage: Eukaryota; Metazoa; Chordata; Mammalia; Artiodactyla; Camelidae. RNAcentral also lists the same sequence under 1 other name. The record is from Rfam by way of RNAcentral.
GAGGGUCUAGCUCACUGGUAGAGUGUGUGCUUAGCAUGCAUGAGUUCCUGGCUUCAAUCCCCAGCACCUCCA